This 254-nucleotide ribosomal RNA is filed under the name uncultured bacterium. RNAcentral's name for it is "partial 16S ribosomal RNA". It matches the Rfam family "Bacterial small subunit ribosomal RNA", at positions 524 to 776 of the family's 1533-position model. The record is from RNAcentral.
GACAGAGGAUGCAAGCGUUAUCCGGAAUUAUUGGGCGUAAAGAGCUCGUAGGCGGUUUGUCGCGUCUGCCGUGAAAGUCCGGGGCUCAACUCCGGAUCUGCGGUGGGUACGGGCAGACUAGAGUGAUGUAGGGGAGACUGGAAUUCCUGGUGUAGCGGUGGAAAUGCGCAGAUAUCAGGAGGAACACCGGUGGCGAAGGCGGGUCUCUGGGCGGUAACUGACGCUGAGGAGCGAAAGCGUGGGGAGCGAACAGG